AGAGGAGCUCACAAAACUCAUCUACGAGGCCAGUGGGCAGGACAUCAGCAUUGCCGUCCUCACGCAGGAGAUUGUGGUUUACCUGGCCAUGUAUGUCAGGGCACAGCCCAGCCUCUUUGUGGAGAUGCUGAGACUCCGGAUUGGACUGAUCAUUCAGGUGAUGGCCACGGAGCUGGCACGGAGCCUGAACUGCUCAGGAGAAGAGGCUUCUGAAAGUUUAAUGAACCUCAGCCCUUUCGAUAUGAAAAAUCUCUUGCACCAUAUUCUAAGUGGGAAAGAGUUUGGCGUUGAAAGAAGUGAUACGAGGUCUCACCAUGCUGCCCAGGCUGGUCUUGAACUCCUGGGCUCAAGCAGUCUUCCCACCUCAGCCUCCCAAAGUGCUGGGAUUACAGUGCGCCCUAUCCACUCCUCCACAUCCAGCCCUGCCAUCUCCAUCCACGAGGUGGGCCAUACCGGAGUCACCAAAACUGAGAGGAGUGGCAUUAACAGACUGAGGAGUGAAAUGAAACAGAGGUCCAGCACCCCAUCCUCGCCCACUGGCACGUCAUCCUCAGACUCUGGAGGACAUCACAUCGGCUGGGGUGAGCGGCAGGGCCAGUGGCUGCGCAGGAGAAGGCUGGACGGGGCCAUCAACAGGGUCCCCGUGGGAUUCUACCAGAGGGUGUGGAAGAUCCUCCAGAAGUGCCACGGUCUCUCCAUCGAUGGUUAUGUCCUCCCAUCCUCGACGA
RNAcentral lists this small RNA (728 nucleotides) under Pongo abelii (Sumatran orangutan). RNAcentral's name for it is "processed transcript". The record is from RNAcentral. Lineage: Eukaryota; Metazoa; Chordata; Mammalia; Primates; Hominidae.